CUUAGAAAUUUAUUUUUAAGUUAGAAAGCUUAAAUUUAUUUAAAAGACGAGAAGACCCUAUAGAGUUUUAUAAAUUAGAUUAGUUGAUGCUUUUUAGUAUAUUUAGGGUUGAUUAAUCUGUUUUAUUUUGUUGGGGUGAUGGAAAAAUUAAGAUAACUUUUUUUAUUUUUGACAAUAAUGUUUGAUUGAAUGAUCCGUUUAGGCGAUUAGAAGAUUAAAUUACCU
Molecule: ribosomal RNA, 225 nt
Filed under: Saprinus australis
Lineage: Eukaryota; Metazoa; Arthropoda; Insecta; Coleoptera; Histeridae
Description: partial 16S ribosomal RNA
Source: RNAcentral